UAUCAGUGAUGAAACUAUCCCGAACCUGACCUACUGAUGAGAAAUUCUAUACGGAUCUGGCUUCUGAGAU
Pelusios castaneus (West African mud turtle) is the source of this 70-nucleotide small nucleolar RNA. Lineage: Eukaryota; Metazoa; Chordata; Testudines; Pelomedusidae. The record is from Ensembl.